AUACGUAGGGAGCGAGCGUUGUCCGGAAUUACUGAGUGUAAAGGGAGCGUAGGCGGGAGUGCAAGUCAGAUGUGAAAUGCAUGGGCUUAACCCAUGAGCUGCAUUUGAAACUGCAUUUCUUGAGUGAAGUAGAGGUAAGCGGAAUUCCUGGUGUAGCGGUGAAAUGCGUAGAUAUCAGGAGGAACACCGGUGGCGAAGGCGGCUUACUGGGCUUUUACUGACGCUGAGGCUCGAAAGCGUGGGGAGCAAACAGGAUUAGAUACCCUGGUAGUCCACGCUGUAAACGAUGAUUACUAGGUGUGGGGGGACUGACCCCUUCCGUGCCGCAGUUAACACAAUAAGUAAUCCACCUGGGGAGUACGGCCGCAAGGUUGAAACUUAAAGGAAUUGACGGGG
This 396-nucleotide ribosomal RNA is filed under the name uncultured bacterium. RNAcentral's name for it is "partial 16S ribosomal RNA". It matches the Rfam family "Bacterial small subunit ribosomal RNA", at positions 523 to 918 of the family's 1533-position model. The record is from RNAcentral.